UUGCCUGUGGGAUAAUCCUUACCUGUUCCUCCUUUGGAGGACCUAUUAGAACAUGAUGAUUGGAGAAUGCAUGAAACGUGAUUAACGUCUCUGCCUAAUCGGGACUUGCAACAACCCGAUUGCUCCUAUCUGAU
Molecule: small nucleolar RNA, 134 nt
Filed under: Colobus angolensis palliatus
Lineage: Eukaryota; Metazoa; Chordata; Mammalia; Primates; Cercopithecidae
Description: U8 small nucleolar RNA (ENSCANG00000004710.1)
Rfam family: U8 small nucleolar RNA
About the family: U8 is a member of the C/D class of snoRNA which contain the C (UGAUGA) and D (CUGA) box motifs.
Source: Rfam by way of RNAcentral